RNAcentral lists this ribosomal RNA (581 nucleotides) under uncultured bacterium. RNAcentral's name for it is "partial 16S ribosomal RNA". It matches the Rfam family "Bacterial small subunit ribosomal RNA", at positions 355 to 928 of the family's 1533-position model. The record is from RNAcentral.
UGGGGAAUUUUGGACAAUGGGCGAAAGCCUGAUCCAGCCAUGCCGCGUGCAGGAUGAAGGCCUUCGGGUUGUAAACUGCUUUUGUACGGAACGAAAAGACUCUGGUUAAUACCUGGGGUCCAUGACGGUACCGUAAGAAUAAGCACCGGCUAACUACGUGCCAGCAGCCGCGGUAAUACGUAGGGUGCAAGCGUUAAUCGGAAUUACUGGGCGUAAAGCGUGCGCAGGCGGUUAUAUAAGACAGAUGUGAAAUCCCCGGGCUCAACCUGGGAACUGCAUUUGUGACUGUAUAGCUAGAGUACGGCAGAGGGGGAUGGAAUUCCGCGUGUAGCAGUGAAAUGCGUAGAUAUGCGGAGGAACACCGAUGGCGAAGGCAAUCCCCUGGCCUGUACUGACGCUCAUGCACGAAAGCGUGGGGGAGCAAACAGGAUUAGAUACCCCUGGUAGUCCACGCCCUAAACGAUGUCAACUGGUUGUUGGGUCUUCACUGACUCAGUAACGAAGCUAACGCGUGAAGUUGACCGCCUGGGGAGUACGGCCGCAAGGUUGAAACUCAAAGGAAUUGACGGGGGUCAUAGCUG